This 407-nucleotide ribosomal RNA is filed under the name uncultured prokaryote. Its description in RNAcentral is "bacterial SSU rRNA". It matches the Rfam family "Bacterial small subunit ribosomal RNA", at positions 355 to 776 of the family's 1533-position model. RNAcentral also lists the same sequence under 1 other name. The record is from RNAcentral.
UGGGGAAUAUUGGGCAAUGGACGAAAGUCUGACCCAGCGACGCCGCGUGAGGGAAGAAGGUCUUCGGAUUGUAAACCUCUGUUGAUAGGGAAGAAGAAAGUGACGGUACCUAUCGAGGAAGCCACGGCUAACUACGUGCCAGCAGCCGCGGUAAUACGUAGGUGGCAAGCGUUAUCCGGAAUUACUGGGUGUAAAGGGUGUGUAGGCGGGACAGCAAGUCAGAUGUGAAACUUAUGGGCUCAACCCAUAACCUGCAUUUGAAACUGUUGUUCUUGAGUGUUGGAGAGGUAAAUGGAAUUCCCAGUGUAGCGGUGAAAUGCGUAGAUAUUGGGAGGAACACCAGUGGCGAAGGCGAUUUACUGGACAACAACUGACGCUGAGACACGAAAGCGUGGGGAGCAAACAGG